UACGUAGGGUGCAAGCGUUGUCCGGAAUUAUUGGGCGUAAAGAGCGUGUAGGCGGCCUGGCAAGUCCGCUGUGAAAACUCGAGGCUUAACCUCGAGACGUCGGUGGAAACUGCCUGGCUAGAGUCCGGAAGAGGAGAGUGGAAUUCCUGGUGUAGCGGUGAAAUGCGCAGAUAUCAGGAAGAACACCCGUGGCUAAGGCGGCUCUCUAGUACGGUACUGACGCUGAGACGCGAAAGCGUGGGGAGCGAACAGG
This 253-nucleotide ribosomal RNA is filed under the name uncultured bacterium. RNAcentral describes it as "partial 16S ribosomal RNA". It matches the Rfam family "Bacterial small subunit ribosomal RNA", at positions 524 to 776 of the family's 1533-position model. The record is from RNAcentral.